Long non-coding RNA from Helianthus annuus (common sunflower), 144 nucleotides. RefSeq lists it as uncharacterized. The transcript has 2 exons. Lineage: Eukaryota; Viridiplantae; Streptophyta; Magnoliopsida; Asterales; Asteraceae. The record is from RefSeq and is a predicted model, not a curated record.
AAAUACACUCCACCAAUCCUUCCCAAAUCAUCCUCACCGACGACACUCAGGUUUGAAUCUAUUGAGUUGAUGAGAAAGUUGUCGGAAUAUAUGAUGUCGAUUGAAAAAUACUUCCAGACUACAAUUAUCUGAUCAAUGGAUUAU